Molecule: ribosomal RNA, 465 nt
Filed under: uncultured bacterium
Lineage: Bacteria
Description: partial 16S ribosomal RNA
Rfam family: Bacterial small subunit ribosomal RNA
Source: RNAcentral
GACGAACGCUGGCGGCGUGCUUAACACAUGCAAGUCGAACGGAAAGGCCCCUUUGUGGGUACUCGAGUGGCGAACGGGUGAGUAACACGUGAGUAACCUGCCCUUGACUUCGGGAUAACUUCAGGAAACUGGGGCUAAUACCGGAUAGGAAUCCUUGCUGCAUGGUGGGGGUUGGAAAGCUUCGGCGGUUUUGGAUGGACUCGCGGCUUAUCAGCUUGUUGGUGGGGUAGUGGCUUACCAAGGCUUUGACGGGUAGCCGGCCUGAGGGGGCGACCGGCCACACUGGGACUGAGAGACGGCCCAGACUCCUACGGGAGGCAGAAGUGGGGAAUAUUGAACAAUGGGCGGAAGCCUGAUGCAGCAACGCCGCGUGCGGGAGGACGGCCUUCGGGUUGUAAAACGCUUUCAGCAGGGGCGAAGCUUGUGGUGACGGUACCUGCAGAAGAAGCACCGGCUAACUACGUG